UCUACGGGAGGCAGCAGUGGGGAAUAUUGCGCAAUGGGCGAAAGCCUGACGCAGCGACGCCGCGUGAGGGAUGAAGGUCUUCGGAGCGGAAACCUCUGUAAGCAGGGAAGAACGGUCACUGUGCUAAUCAGCAGUGAAUUGACGGUACCUGCAAAGGAAGCACCGGCUAACUCCGUGCCAGCAGCCGCGGUAAUACGGAGGGUGCGAGCGUUAAUCGGAAUUACUGGGCGGAAGUCGCUCGGAGGCGGGAUGUCAAGUCAAGGGUGAAAUCCCCGCGCUCAACGUGGGAACUGCCUUUGAAACUGGCAAACUGGAGUGUGUGAGAGGAUAGUGGAAUUCCGGGUGUAGGAGUGAAAUCCGUAGAUAUCUGGAGGAACAUCAGUGGCGAAGGCGACUAUCUGGCACAUAACUGACGCUGAGGAGCGAAAGCGUGGGUAGCAAACAGGAUUAGAUACCCGAGUAGUC
RNAcentral lists this ribosomal RNA (465 nucleotides) under uncultured bacterium. RNAcentral's name for it is "partial 16S ribosomal RNA". It matches the Rfam family "Bacterial small subunit ribosomal RNA", at positions 338 to 795 of the family's 1533-position model. The record is from RNAcentral.